Molecule: ribosomal RNA, 433 nt
Filed under: uncultured bacterium
Lineage: Bacteria
Description: partial 16S ribosomal RNA
Rfam family: Bacterial small subunit ribosomal RNA
Source: RNAcentral
AACGAACGCUGGCGGCAGGCCUAACACAUGCAAGUCGAGCGAGGACUUCGGUCCUAGCGGCGGACGGGUGAGUAACGCGUUGGAACGUGCCCUUUGCUUCGGAAUCGCCCUGGGAAACUGGGAGUAAUACCGGUUGAGCCCUUUGGUGGAAAGAUUUAUCGGCGAAGGAUCGUCCCGCUUUGGAUUAGGUAGUUGGUUGGGUAAUGGCCUACCAAGCCGAGGAUCCAUAGCUGUUUUGAGAGGAUGAUCAGCCACACUGGGACUGAGACACGGCCCAGACUACUACGGGAGGGAGCAGUGGGGAAUAGUAGAAAAUGGGGGAAAAGCUGAACUAGCCAUGCCGCGUGAGAGAUGAAGGCCUUAGGGUUGUAAAGCACUAUAAGCUGGGAAGAUAAUGACGGUACCAGAAGAAGAAGCACCGGCUAACUCCGUG